RNAcentral lists this microRNA (21 nucleotides) under Arabidopsis thaliana (thale cress). RNAcentral describes it as "ath-miR5999". The record is from miRBase by way of RNAcentral. Lineage: Eukaryota; Viridiplantae; Streptophyta; Magnoliopsida; Brassicales; Brassicaceae.
UCUUCACUAUUAGACGGACAA